This 33857-nucleotide long non-coding RNA is filed under the name Fragaria vesca (wild strawberry). RNAcentral describes it as "long non-coding RNA (FVES_LNC002211)". Lineage: Eukaryota; Viridiplantae; Streptophyta; Magnoliopsida; Rosales; Rosaceae. The record is from RNAcentral.
CUUCUUCUUCUUCCUCUCUCUCCUACCUUUGCUUAUCUCUGCUUCAAACCCAGACUCCGCGCCGCUCUUAGCCUUCAAGGCCACGUCGGACGCCUCCAACCUUCUCGCCACGUGGAACUCCACCUCCGACCCCUGCAACUUCGCCGGAGUCUCCUGCACCCGCAACCGCGUCUCCCGCCUCGACCUCCGCGGCUCCUUCGCCGCGUUAACCGGGCUGACUCAGCUUCGAGUUCUCAGCCUGAAGCGUAACCGUCUCUCCGGCCCCAUUCCCGACCUCUCUAACCUCACCUCCCUCAAGCUCCUCUUCCUCUCCUACAACGACUUCUCCGGCGAGUUUCCCGCCUCCCUGACGUCACUCUUCCGCCUUUACCGCCUCGAUCUGGCGUACAACAACUUGACCGGUGAUAUUCCCGACAAGGUCAACCAUUUGACUCACCUCCUCACUCUCCGCCUCGAAGCCAACCGAUUCUCCGGCUCGAUUUCCGGCCUCAACCUCCCGAAUCUCCAGGAGUUCAGCGUGGCCGUUACAUCAACAAGAGUUCUAACUUUCGAAUGAUGAUCAGGCCCGCUCACCUGCGGGACUCUAUUUACGGGACAAAACAAGACAGAUGGCUUAUAGCCAUUAGAUUUAAAUGAAACAGAUCGACGGCUGAAAGGAUCUUCACAAAACAUUCUUUGAAUCUCCACGACCCGCACCCAAUUCGGUGCCCAUCUUCAAGCCUAAUCAUUAACAUGGUCUUCUGUUCAUCAUUCCAACCCAGAUUGCAAACCCAUAUCAUCUUCUCCUCGUCAAAACAUCUUAUUUGGGGAAGGAAAACCCGAUACAUAUAUAUAUAUAUAUCAGAUGAAUCAUGAAUCUUGCCUCAGAUACACAAACACCACAAAAAACUACCGUUAGAUUUCGUUAGGAGGAUUUGGCCGCCACCACUAAAGCCGCCGCGACAACCUCCACUAACGGCUUGACUCUCUUUAUACCCAAUUUGAUCUUUCUAUCUAUAUUUAAUCCCACAAUCGAAGUAUGCAGCCUUUUAAAUUGCAAAAUUAGGAAUCUUUAGUUGAAGGAGGAUAGGAGGAAUUGAUGGGGUUUGGUCGGGGUAGAGAUUGGGAUUGGGUGGAUACAGGUAAACUCUUACUUUUCUCUUUUCCUUCUUCCCCAUCUCUUCCUCUCUAACUCUUGUUGCUUAAUUGAAAAUUCAUCCAGCAAAUUCAAUAUCAAGUAGAGAAUCAAACUAGAGAAUUGAGAACUGUUGGAUCUUUAUUGUUCAAAUCGAAGAAACCUCAAAGAAUCAGACAACAUAAUUUUCAAAUAAAAAAAGCAACAAUCUUGGAUAUUUGUAGAUGAGAAAAGAAUGAACCAUGAUUUUUCCUCAACCCAGAAUACAGAAGGUUAUAGAAAUCCUGGAUAGCAUAUACAGGGAGAGAAGGAAGAAAAGGAGAGCGAGCAAGUGAGCAACGAAGGUUGAAGAUGGGCACCGAAUUGGGUGUGGGUCGUGGAGAUUUGUCAAGAUCCUUUCAGCUGUAUGAUCUGUUUCAUUUAAAUCUAAUGGCUAUAAGCCAUCUAUCCCGUUUUAUCCCUUAAAUUUUAGUCCCGCAGGUGAGCGGGCCUGAUAUGAUGAUUACUUUUAAAAAAACAUAUCCGACUUAUUACAAAUACGUGUCCCACCGUAUCAUACCGUAUAUUUCUGUAUUCUGAUAUAUCUCGAGAACACAUUUUUAACCUACAAGGCAUCUUGUACACGCUGGUACGGCCGGAAACAGUGGGAAACGGUUUUAUAUGACGCGAUACGUGUCCGAUAAGGCUGGAUACGAAUCCGUAAAUACAUAGUAUAUGCGGGGCAAUAAGGGCAAUUCGACCAUAGUGUUUUGCAGGAAUAAGAAAAGCGCGCGACGACCUGAGUGACAAGUUGGGAAGCCGCCAUGGCAGCGGAGAAGGCUGAAGACGUAGCGAUUACAGAGGCAGCUCGGCGUGGCCGUUACAUCAACAAGAGGACGAAAGGCCGUCGCCGUCACCUUCAACGAGAAAGGUCUGAGGUACCCACCUUUCAAAAUUCAAACUAAGCCCUGAAAUUGGGUUUUGAACUAGGCUUUGGUUUGUGAAGCUACUUUGUCUCUGGGUUGCACAAGAGGAAGAAUAAGAGGAAUCUAAAUGCUAAGCCUAAGCUUGUUUGUUAGUGUUCGGCUGUGAUUUGUGAACAUAGAACGGGAGCGAAUAGUCGUGCUUAGAAAUGUACAAGUCAAUUUGACAAAUAAUGUAAGAAUAGUAUUAGGAAUUGAAGAAGAAUUGGUACUUAGAACAUAGUCUGAUUUAUGCCUAGUCCAGCUCCAGAGUGUUCAGUCUUUGAGGUCCCUGUUCUUCAUGGUUCAAACUUGCUACAAAAGCAUUGAACUUUCUAUGAGCUCUUCCUGGUCCUACUUGUAUACUUUUCUCAGGUAUUGUUGAGGUUAUGAUAACAGUUUAGCAACUUUAGUUCAUGAUAUACGAACUUAAUACGAGAAUGAAAUCUAGAUAUUUAUGCAGGCUAGCUAAUCUCAAUGGAGAAUAUAUGUUGUCUUGUAUCGUUGAAUGAAGAGUCAGAACCUCAAGUCUUUGCAUUGCUGGUCAAUUGAGAACAUGAGACGGAAAGCACCUCAUCCAAUCAAAGUUUCCAAGUAUAUUCUCUCUCCUAUUUCCAAGACGCUAGCUAGCUAGCAUAUUACCAAAUUUACUUAUCAAUAACAAGCUGAGAAAACUCUUACAACAGUUUUGUAGUGGUUGUUGUUCAGCUCGGAUUCCUGGGAACUCCUGGAUGGCUCCAAUCACUUUGUUUAUUUCAUUUCUUCUCACUAAUCUUGCUGUUCUUCACUCUGCUGAAGAACAGAGAAUCAACAAAAGUUGUCCGCCUUACUUCUGUAAUGAUGUAAUAGGCAACAUCUCUUUCCCCUUCAGAUAUGAGGAACAAUCUCGUGAAUGCGGAUUGUAUCCUGUUGAUUGCUCUGAAGGCUUUCCGAGGAUCCAACUCAAAGAGGGAGGAUAUUGGCAUGAAUUUACAAGCAUCUCUGAGUCGAAUAAUAUUUCGAUGAUCAUCAACAAAGAGCUUAAGCAGCGCUUAGAAAGUAUUCCUUGCGAUGAUGAAAGCUUCGAGGAUUUAAGUCUUCCCAGCCCGACUCCAAUAUCUAAUGUAUCCACUACACACAACCUGACCCUGUUUAAAUGCAGCAACACAACUUUUUCAACGGAUUUCAAACUCGCCUGCAGCAGUACUUCCAAUCCUUACAAUUAUUAUACUUCUUCCAUGUACGUACCAAGUCCUCCGCCAGACUGUUCAGCUGUUUGGCUACCCCGUCUCCCGGGUUGGAAUAUUUCGAAUCAACCUCACCCUAUCCUCACUGCUAACUUCACCCUGCAAGUGACAGUAUCCGAACAAUGUUAUGAAUGCUAUUCUAGAGGAGGUUUAUGCCAGGCAUACGGCGGAGAAUUUACUUGUUCACCUACACCAAAAGGUACUCAAUCCAUCUCGUACUAGUUCACUUCCUUUAAAGUCUCAUCUCACAAUAUUGCAUCCAGUGUAUCAUGGUCGUUCUUGUGGAGAAUUUUUGAAUUAGAUGGGAUGAAAACUAAUGAAGCUAAGAUGUAAAGUGGCCUUUUGUAAUAUCUUAUAAGCUGUGAACAAGAUAACUAGGUUGUUGGGCUGAUAAGUGUAGGUUAAUUUUGUGUUCCCAUAGGACAGUGCGUCCAUGAAAAUCAGUUUUUCAAUGUUUAAUGUAGAAGGUACAUGCCAGUUCAGAAAGGAAAAUCUUGAUUUGGCUUUUUUAAUAUAGCACUGUGCAUCAUCUUUAGUCUCUUGAGGAUUCCAACUUUAUCUGUGCCACUUCAGCCUUCUUUGCUUUGGCUAACACCAUUUUUCUUAGCAGAAGGAGGACACUUGAGAUUGAAGCUGGCACUAGGACUAGGUAAGAUCUUUAGCUCAUUAAUUGAUCGAAUAUAUAAUUCAGUUAUCAAUUAUACAUGUAAAUAACUUGUGGUAGAAGUGUUACUUGUGGAAGAAGUGUUUAAUCUCAUGAAAGCAAAAGAGAGAUUCCCACAAGCCCCAACAAAGGAUUAAGUUUCUCAAGUAUAUCCUUGAAUGUUUUUGUUAAUGGUGUGAGACUUUGAGCAUUACCAAAACCUUUUCAGAAAGCUAGCUAGUUUGUAUUUUUUAUAGAUCUUUCAUUGCAUAAAUUUGUGAUUUUUUUUUUCUUUGAUCAGCCGGUGGAGUAGUUGGUCUCCUGGUCCUAGUACUGGUUGUGGCACUUUGCUGCUUGAUGAGAAAGUUAUCAACUUCUAGAUCUAUUUUCUUUUGGAAGAAGAAAAACCAAAGUCGUAAAAAUCUGGAGGCCUUUCUAUCAAACUAUGGGCCACUUCAAGCUAACAGAUACAGCUAUUUGGAUGUUAAGAAGAUGACCAAUUCGUUCGAAGAAAAAUUAGGACAGGGGGGUUAUGGCGAUGUCUAUAAAGGAAAAUUAAAGGGCGGCUCUCUGGUAGCAGUAAAGGUCUUAAACAGAUCAAAGGGUAAUGGAGAGGACUUUAUCGCUGAAGUUGCAGCCAUCAGUAGAACUUCCCAUGUCAACAUUGUCAGCUUGUUGGGGUUUUGUUUUGAGGGUUCAAAAAGAGCACUCAUUUAUGAGUUCAUGCCUAAUGGAUCUCUGGAGAAGUUCAUAUUUGAUGCAAAUAACCCACAAAAGGAUCAUCACUUGGGAUGGGAAGCACUGGAACAAAUUUCAUUUGGCAUUGCUCGAGGCCUAGAGUACUUGCACCGUGGCUGCAACACAAGAAUUUUGCAUUUUGACAUCAAGCCUCAUAACAUUCUUCUUGAUGAGAACUUCUCGCCAAAGAUCUCUGAUUUUGGCCUUGCCAAAAUAUGUGACAGGAAAGAGAGUAUUGUAUCAAUGUUGUAUGCAAGAGGUACGGCUGGAUACAUCGCUCCAGAGGUGUUCUGUAGAAGUUUUGGAGGGGUCUCACACAAAUCGGAUGUGUACAGCUACGGAAUGAUGCUUUCAGAGAUGGCUGGGGGAAGAAGGAACAUCAAUGUUGAAGCUGAAAAGACUAGUGAGAUAUACUUUCCACACUGGAUUUACAAGCGCCUUGACCUGGACGAGGAGCUUGGCCUGCAUGGUAUCAAAAGUGAGGAAGACAAAGCCAGAGCAAGAAAGUUGAUAAUAGUAAGCUUGUGGUGCAUACAGACUGAUCCCUCAAACCGACCAGCGAUGAAAGAAGUGAUAGAAAUGCUGGAAGGGAGUGUGGAGUCCUUGAAGAUACCACCCAAGCCCUACUUGUCUUCUCCUGCAAAAUCUCCUGCAGUGGCAGAUUCUUCUAGUACAUUGGUAUCAAUACAUUAAGAACUCUGCACUUUACUAGUAACAUUCGAUGUAUUUUAUUCGUCAUGUCUCAUUUCUGGAUCCACUGUGGACUGUACGAAUUACAAUGGAUGAAAAUGAAUUUGCAUUCAUUCUAGUUCAAGAUGACCUUCAGAUCUGAAUGGCAUCUUUUGCAGCUAUAUUCAUUUCAGAUUUCACUGUGCCAAAGCAGGUUAAUGCAUUGAAAUUUGUGUUUGUAACUUUGUACUACUCGCAUGUCUUUUCAUCUGGAUAUUGAAGUUUACACUGGGAGCAGGUAAAGAAUCCAAGCUAAAACCAAGCCUCUUUUAGUGGUUAUUGAUCUUAGUUGUUACUAACUUACUAGUCAUGCUUUGCAGUUUGAACGAUGAAUAAUAACGAGUCAAAGAGAACGACAAUUCGUAUAAGAAGUUGUGAGGACGAAGCAUUUACAUUUUCUUUGGUGUGCUAUGAAUAUAAUGCAUUUAAUAGGAUUUGGUAUAUGAAGCGGUAGUUCUUCAAUCUUCAUAGAUCGAAACCCCUCAAACUCCUGAGUCUCCUGACGCUUCUUCUAUUCAACUUUGAAUUAGGGCAUCACCAAAACAAAAAUAACACAAUUUGAAUUAGGGCUAUGUCAGAGUCAGACUACCUACCAGAAGGAAUCGUAGAGAAAAUCCUUCUCAAGUUGCCCGUCAAAUGAGUAAUCAAAUGCAGCGCAGUGAGCAAGUCAUGGAGGUCUCUGAUCAAAAGCUCCGACUUCAUUCAGACCCACCUCAGCCUCACCUCACCCUCCAACCACCACAAAGAUGAACACCUUCUUCUGCCCAAGUCUUCCACCUGGAGAGAUGUUAGUUUGUCUUUGCAUUGGGAUAACCUUUUGGUGGGGAAGUAUGCUCCGAUUGUAAGUCUCUUUAUAUUUCAUAUCAGAUUACACUGUCCACCCAGACUACCCUGGACGUUACAUUACUGGGAAAACUAAAAUCAUUGGCACUUGUAACGGUCUCAUAUGCCUUGCUGAUAGAUGAAAAUAGUCCGCCCAAAGUAAUUUGGAACCCAUCUAUCAGGAAGUUUGUGGUUUUACCUAGACCAUCUAUCAACUUAACAUACGCCCCGUUUAAAAACGACAGAGUAAUAUAUGCAUUUGGUUAUGAUUCACAUGCCAAUGACUAUAAGAUUGUGAGAAUUGGUAGAUGUUUUUUUCUUAACGCCGAGUGAGGUUGAGGUUUACUCAUUUGCCAUGAGAUCCUGGAAGAGACUUAGUGCUGCUUAGAUUCCUCUAGACUUCAAGCUUCGCUCUGGACAAGCUUACGCUUUUGUUAAUGGUGCAGUGCAUUGGGUAUCUCAACUUUAUAGGUAUUUUAAAAAGGACAAUCUCAUUGUUUGGUUUGAUAUGGCGGGUGAAGCAUUUGGCCAGAUAUUGUUGCCUGAAGCAUUGAGAAGACACUGUUGCCAUAUUUCAAGAUACCGGGAGUCGCUUGCAUUUGGCUGGAAAUCUGUAGGGGAAUACAGAUCUAGUUAUGGGUUGGAGGUGUGGAUCAUGGCAGUGUAUGGUGUAACGGAGUCCUGGACUAAAUUGUUCAAUAUACAUCUACACGGACUUGAUGAGUACGAGCCGCUUGCAUGGGUCUAUAUAAGAAGAAAUGGGGAAAUAUUGCUUAAUAGGGAGAAUAAACGAGGGCUCAUCAUAUCAGUGGACAUUAGGAGCAGACAAGUUGAAGUAAUCUUGCAGGAGUGUAAAUUUACUGUAGUUCAUAAUCUCAAGUACAGACUUGGCAUAUGAGAAUGAAAAUAUUGAUAUUCCUGCAAGCUAGCUCUUCUGAGUGGACUUCAUUGUUUGAAGAGUCAAAAACCUCAAGUCUUUCUGAUGCUGGUCAAUGGUGAACAUGAGAAGGAAACUACCUCAUCCAAUCAAAAGUUCCAACUAUUCUCUCUUCAAUUUCCAAAAGUACUAGCCAGCAUAUUACCAAACAAGAGGGACUAACAAGAGAUAACUCUUCUUCAGCUGUUUGUUGCGGUUUUUGUUCAGCUGAGAAUUCUUGGAUGGCUCCAGUCACUUUGUUUAUUUCAUUUCUUCUCACUAAUCUUGCUGUUCUUCAUUCUGGUCAAGAAGAUAGAAUCAACAAACGUUGUCCACCCUACUUCUGUGAUCAAAUAGGAAACAUCUCUUUCCCCUUCAAAUAUAAGGAAUAUCCUCCUGAAUGUGGAUUGUAUUCUGUUGAUUGUCCUAAAGGGCGUCCUCCGAGGAUCCAACUCAAAGAGGGAGGAUACUGGCAUGAAUUUACAAGCAUCUCUGAGUCGAAUAAUAUUUCAAUCGUCAUCAACAAAGACCUUAAGCAGCGGUUAGAAAGUAAGCCUUGCGAUGAUCAAAGCUUGGAGGAUUUAAGUCUUCCAAACCCGUCUCCAAUAUCUGAUGUAUCCGCUACACGCAAUCUGAUCCUCUUCAAAUGCAGCAACACCCUGAAGUCCUGAACACAACUUUCUCAACGGAUUUCAGGCUCGCCUGCAGCAGUACGGCCCAUCCUUACCAUUAUUAUAUUACCUCUAUUACUUCUUCCAAGUACAUACCAAGUCCUCCGCCAGAGUACUGUUCAGUUGUUUGGCUGCCCUUUCUCCCGGGUUGGGAUAUUUCGAAUCAACCUCACCCUAUCCUCACUGCUAACUUCACCCUGCAAGUGACAGUAUCCGAAAAAUGUUCUGAAUGCCAUUCUAAAGGAGACAUAUGCCAGGCAUACGAGGGAAAAACUAUUUGUGCACCUGCAGUACCGAAACUAUUUGUACUCAAUUAAUUCACCAUACUAGUUCACUUUCUUCAAAGUCUCAUCUCACAAUAUUGCAUUCACUGUAUCAUGGAGACUUAUUGGAUUACAAGGGAUGAAAGCUAAUGAAGCUAAAAUGAAAACUGGUUUUAUUUUUAUUUUUUUAUGAUGAUCAAUAAUAUCACAAGCUGUGAAUAUCAAAAUAACUAGGUUGAUGGGUAGAUAAGAAUUUAGAUAUCAUGUCUGUAAAUUUGGUGUUAGGAUAGGACAGUGCGUCAAUGAAAGAUAAGUUUCUCGAUGUUAUAGUACUGUAUAGAAGGUACAUGCCAGAAUGGAAAAUCUAGAUGUUCCGUAGCUAUAUAUGCGUUUCACUGUUACACAUCCACAGUGGCUUUCUAAUUUAUCAUUGCGCAUCAUCUUGAGUUUCUUAAGGAUUCCAACUUUAUCUGUGCCACUUCAGCCUUCUUUGCUUUGGCUAACACAAUUUUUCUGAGCUGCAGGAGACCACUUGAGAGUGAGAGUGAAGCUAGGACUAGGACUAUGUAAGAUCUUUAUCUCUUCAAUUGAAUCCUUAAUUUGUUACUAUCAGAAUAUAUGAACUGAACUGCUGUAUAGUUUAACCUCAUGAAAUCAAAUAAUGUUUUUGUGAAUGGUUUGAGCAGUAUUUUUAAAGAUCUUUUAUUGCAUAAUUUUGUGAUUUCUUUUCUUUGAUCAGCUGGUGGAUUAGUUGGUCUCCUGGUCCUAGUACUGGUUGUACUUUGCUGCUUAAGGAGAAAGUUAGCGUCUUCUAGAUUUAUUUUCUUUUGGAAGAAACAAAACCAAAAUCUGGAGGCCAUUCUAUCAAACUAUGGACUACUUCAAGUUAAAAGAUACAGCUAUUUCGAUGUUAAGAAGAUGACCAAUUCUUUUGAAGAAAAAUUAGGACAGGGCGGAUAUGGUGGUGUAUAUAAAGGAAAAUUAAAAGACGGCCCUCUAGUAGCGGUGAAGGUAUUAAACAGAUCAAAAGGUAAUGGAGAGGAUUUUAUGAAUGAAGUUGCAGCUAUAAGUAGAACUUCCCAUGUCAACGUUGUCAGUUUGUUGGGGUUUUGUUUCGAGGGCUCAAAGAGAGCACUCAUUUAUGAGUUCAUGCCUAAUGGAUCUCUUGAGAAGUUCAUAUAUGAUGCAAAUAACCCGCAAAAGGAUCAUCACUUGGGAUGGGAAGCACUGGAACAAAUUUCACUUAGCAUUGCUCGAGGCCUAGAGUACUUGCAUCGUGGCUGCAACACAAGAAUUUUGCAUUUUGACAUCAAGCCUCAUAACAUUCUUCUUGAUGAGAACUUCUCGCCAAAGAUCUCUGAUUUUGGCCUUGCCAAAAUAUGUGACAGGAAAGAGAGUAUUGUGUCAAUGUUGUAUGCAAGAGGUACUGCUGGAUACAUCGCUCCAGAGGUGUUCUGUAGAAGUUUUGGAGGGGUCUCGCACAAAUUGGAUGUGUACAGCUACGGAAUGAUGCUUUCAGAAAUGGCUGGGGGAAGAAGGAACAUCAAUGUUGAAGCUGAAAAUACUAGUGAGAUAUACUUUCCACACUGGAUUUACAAGCGUCUUGAGCUGGACGAGGAACUUGGCCUGCAUGGUAUCAAAAGUGAGGAAGACAAAGCCAGAGCAAGAAAGUUGAUAAUAGUAAGCUUAUGGUGCAUACAGACUGAUCCCUCAAACGACCAGCGAUGAAAGAAGUGAUAGAAAUGCUGGAAGGGAGUGUGGAGUACUUGAAGAUACCAGCCAAGCCCUACUUGUCUUCUCCUUCAAUGUUCUAAAGAAGGUAUAUGCAUGGGAACAGAUAUGCAUUAAAAAGUAUGCAUGCAGGGUUUUAAAAUGAUCAUAUUCUGUUUUGUGUUGUUCUUGUGAUUCAAUGCCUACUUUAUCUCUGGUACUUCAUCAUAUCUAAUGACAUGAACGUGCUGGGAAUUGGGGCUUGUUAUCUUUUUCUGUUUUCAAAUAUGGUGUUUCUCUAUUACAGUGAUCGUUUUGCAGCACCUGGAAACUAGGUAGUUGAAGUCUCAAUAGAUAAUAUAGAUUUAUCAACUUUAUUCUAAGGGUUCCACUUGUGUGCUUUAAAGUAUGGAUACCCAAACAGUUUUGACUUGUUAUAACAGGUUAAAACAAACUAACACCGUUAACUCUCCGUUAAGUCUCUCUAUAUCUACAGUUUUCAUUAAAAAUAUCUACCAUUCAGAUGAGCAAAAUCAAACAAAAGUAGACUUUCUGGAAAUCAAAAUGAUUCUUGAGAUUGUCUACAACUAUCAUAAGAAACAGCUACUACUGUCAUGAAAAAUAUCACAGAAAAUGUUGCAAGUCGAAAGACACAUUUAACAUAAGACACAUCUACUGUUUUCAUUAGAAAAGAAAAGUAGACUUUUCUAGAAAUCAAAAUUGUUCUUGAGAUUGAAUCAACCCAAGGUAAAAUUUGCAACUCUACAUUUAACAAAAGACACAUCUACUAUUUUUAUUACAAAUCUCUACCAUUAACCUAAGCGAAAUCAAAGAAAAGUAGACUUUCUGGAAAUCAAACUUGUUCUUGAGAUUGAAUCAACCCAAUGUAAAAGAUGCAAAGUCUACAUUUAACAUAAGACACAUCUACUAUUUUCAUUAGAAAUGUCUACCAUUAACAUAAGAGAAAUCAAAGAAAAGUAGACUUUCUGGAAAUCAAAACUGUUCUUGAGAUUGAAUCAACCCAAGGUAAAAUAUGACAUUUAACAUAAGACACAUCUACUAUUUUCAUUAGAAAUGUCUACCAUUAACAUAAGAAAAAUCAAAGAAAAGUAGACUUUCUGGAAAUCAAAAUUGUUCUUGAAAUUGAAUCAAUAAUUGAAUGUGAAAGUUGCAAAGUCUACAAUUAACAUAAGACCCAACUACUCUUUUCAUGAGAAAUGUCUACUAUUUAGAUGAGAAAAAUCAUAAAAAAGUAGACUUUUUGGAAAUCAAAAUUGUUCUUGAGAUUGAAUCAAUAAUUGAAGAUGAAAGUUGCAGAGUCUACAUUUAACAUAAGACACAACUACUAUUUUCAUGAGAAAUGUCUACCAUUUAGAUGAGCAAAAAUAAAAAAAUAAGUAGACUUUCUGGAAAUUAAAAUUGUUCUUGAGAUUGAAUCAAUAAUUGAACAUGAAAGUUGCAAAGUUUACAUUUAACAUAAAACAUAACUACUAUUUUCAUGAGAAAUGUCUACCAUUUAGAUGAGCAAAGUCACAAAAAAGUAGACUUUCUGGUAAUCAAAAUUGUUUUUGAGAUUGAACCAAUAAUUGAAGAUGAAAGUUGCAAAGUCUACAUUUAACAUAAGACACAACUACUAUUUUAAUGAGAAAUGUCUAUUUUAAUGGAGCCCUAACCAAAUGAUUAUUUUCGUAUGUUGAAGAUGAAAAUUGACCGUCUGAUGUGAUCAUUAUUGUGAAACAUGGCUUUGGUAUAAAAUUCAACUGGAUUCAACAAUGUUUGGGGCUCGAUCAAAGGGGUCAACCCUGAUUCAUCUUUACUUAUCACACGAAAACUAUCUUACCUACCUCUUCGUGACCUAGUUUGGUGGAUUCUUCAACACAAUAAAGUCUCACAUAGAUGAGACAUAACCACCCAUGUAAAACUUUGGAGACGUUUACCACCCGAGGAUAGGGCUCUCCUUAAUGAAGCAUAAGCGUAAAUAGGGUUGACCGCUUCAAUCGGGGCCCAAACAUUGGUAAAUUAAAGUGAUUUUUCUACCGUAGCCGUAUUUUACUAUACCGAUCACAUCCUAUUUCACGAGAUUUUUGAAAAUUUUGCUUCCUCUAUAUAGUUGGUUCACAAAGUUGUACACUAGCAUAUAACCUACCAAACAAGUUAUACCACAUUAGUAGGCACGUUGUAAUUCCGAUGACUAAAAUUUAGACGUAAUUGUGAAGUGGGUCUUGCCAGUGGUCCGGGACAUUUUUCGGUGAAUUUUUCCGACACCGGAGCUAUUUUCUAUGCAUUUUUAAAGUUUUGAAAUGGUGGAAAAAAAAGUAAAACUUUAAUGAUAUAGACAAAUUAGUGACUUAGGACGAAUGAGGUCGCGACAUGUGGUAAUUAGUGUUGAAUUUUCAGAAAAGGAAUUCCCCCGAAAUGGAAACUUACCAUUCCUUUUAUAGUAGAUUUCCAUAAAUAGUAACUUUCGUUUUUAAAGCAUAACUAUCCCCUCAAAAUAGAAACUUACCCUUCCUUUUAUAGUUAAUUUCCAUAAAUAGUAACUUUCGUUUUUAGAGCACAACUAUCCCCCCAAAAUAGAAAUUUACCUUUUCUUUUAUAGUUGAUUUCCAUAAAUAGUAACUUUAGUUUUUUUAGUAUAAUUAUCCCCCCGAAAUGGAAACUUACCCUUCCUUUUAUAGUUGAUUUCCAUAAAUAGUAACUUUCAGAAAGUCUACUUUUGCAUGUCAAUUAGCUCAUGUUAUUAGUAGACCUAACUCAUGUUAAUAGUAGACUUUACAUCUUAGAGUACUUGAUCCAACUUUGAAUAACAAUCUCAAGAACGAAUUUCCAAAAAGUCUACUUUUAUAUGAUUUUGCUCAUUCAAAUGGUAGACAUUUCUUAUGAAAAAAGUAGUUGUGUCUUAUGUUAAAUGUAGACUUUGUAAUUUUCAUCUUCAAUUAUUAAUUCAAUCUCAAGAACAAUUUUAAUUUCCAGAAAAUCUACUUUUUUAUUAUUUUGCUCAUCUAAAUGGUAGACAUUUCUCAUGAAAAUAGUAGUUGUGUUUUAUGUUAAAUGUAGUCUUUGCAACUUUUGUCUUUAAUAGGUUCAAUAUCAAGAACAUUUUGAUUUCCAGAAAGUCUACUAUUUUGUGAUUUUGCUUAUUUAAAUGGUAGACAUUUCUCAUGAAAAUAGUAGUUGUGUCUUAUGUUAAAUGUAAACUUUGCUACUUUCACCUUUAUUUAUUGAUUCAAUCUCAAAAACAAUUUUGAUUUCUAGAAAGUCUACUUUUUUGUGAUUUUGCUCAUCUAAAAGGUAGACAUUUCUCAUGAAAAUAGUAAUUGUGUCUUAUGUUAAAUGUAGACAUGCAAAUUUUACAUUUGGUUGGUUCAAUCUUAAGAACCAUUUUUAUUCUAGAAAGUCUACAUUUAUGUGAUUUUUCUCAUCUAAAUGGUAGUUAUUUCUUAUGAAAAUAGUAGUUGUGUCUUAUGUUAAAUGUAGACUUUGCAACUUUCACUUUCCAUUAUUGAUUCAACCUCAAGAACAAUUUUGAUUUCUAGAAAGUGUACUUUUUUGUGAUUUUGCCUAUCUGAAUGGUAGACAUUUCUCAUGAAAAUAGUAGUUGUGUCUUAUAUUAAAUGUAAACUUUGCAACUUUCACUUUCAAUUAUUGAUUCAAUCUCAAGAACAAUUUUGAUUUCCAGAAAGUCUACUUUUUUGUGAUUUUGCUCAUCCAAAUGGUAGACAUUUCUCAUGAAAAUAGUAGUCGUGUCUUAUGUUAAAUGUAGAGUUUGCAACUUUUGCCUUCAAUAAGUUCAAUCUCAAGAGAGCAUACAAAAGGAGUUAGUUUCUUGCAACGAGAUCGAUUUUAGUAAGAAAUUGACAUAUUGAUGAGACAAGAGGGAAGCAAUCAGACGUUGCUUUUCUUCUUGAAGGAUAGAGGAGAAGGCUUGUCGAACAGUGGGUAGAGGCUUCAUGAGAAGAAUUUGUCCUCGGAUAGCUUGGUAUGUUUCAUUCAAUCCCAUAAGGAAUUGCAUCAAUUUCUGUUGAUCUGUUUGUUAUGUUGCAUCAAGUGUUGAUAAUUCAUCCCAUAGAGCCUUCAACUUUGUGAAAUAGACUGAAACUGAGAGUUGUUCUUGUCGAAGAGAGUUGAUAUCUCUCUGAAUCUCAAAGAUGCGUGUCGCAUUUGCUUGAGAAAAGCGUUCAUGAAGAUCCUCCCAAACUUCAUAGGCAGUAGGAUAAUAGGUCACACUUUCGAUUAUUUCUGGAUCGCAAGAACUAACGAUCCAAGAGUGGACCAUGUCAUUACACCUUGACCAAAUCGCAUAACCAUUAGGGUCAGCUGUUUCUGAAGGAGCUUUAAUAGAGCCAUUGACGAAUCCGAGCUUGUUCUUGGAAUUUAAGGCUCGAACCAUAGCCCUUUUCCAACCAGAGAAAUUGUCUCCAUUCAAGGGUUUAGAGAUGAGAACCAAUCCAGGAUGAUCGGAAUGGUGAAUGAGGUAGGGACUUGAAACCUCUAAUAAGGUUUCUGAAUCCUUUGGAACAGAAUCAAUUUUUGGUGGUGAGUAUUUUGAGGAUUCUGAGGUCUUAGGAAUAGAACCGUCAGGUUUUGGAGAUGAUGGGAUUUUGUCAUCAGACAUGAUGGCUGAGAUAGGGAGGCUGCACGAGAAAUUAGAGUGCAACGAUAGAACAGGAUCUUAUCACUGCUCUGGUACCAUGAAAAGAUAAUAGUUCUGGUGGAAUAAUCUUUCAUUGAUACAGAGGGAAUACAUAUACAAGUGUAAUUGUGACUGACUAGGAAACUAAACUCUAUAAGGAAACAUAUAUAUACAGAUAAGUAAAUCCCUAAUAGAGAAGAUACUGUCUAAUAGGGUUAUGCUGUUGAUGAGAUACAGCUGAUCUUCUUUCUAUCUAAAGACUAUUUUCCUUACAGAUGAUGUAUACAAAGGAAGACUUUAAUGAUGGUUCACUUAGCAUUGCUCGACGCGUAGGGUUUUGAAAUUUCCUCUCCAACAAUAACUUUCUAAAGUUAUUGAGGUUGAGGAAACGAAAGAAACCUCAUUUGAUUUCUGUCAAAGUAUACUAAACAUUCAAUGGGAUGAAAACAUAUUUUUAUUUUAUUUUUUAUUUUUUAUCUGGGAGAAGGGAUGAAACCGAAUGUUGAUAGUCAUGGCAUCAAAGAUGAGCGAAAUAAACUAGGGUUUACAAAGAAAGCAGAGAAAUUUAAGAGAGGAUAGAUCAGAACACUUGCUUUGAUUAAAAUGAAGCUUAAUUACAAAGAGAAGCUGCUCAGCACUAUAUAUACAUCAGAGAGCGAGGAAAAUAAGAGAGCUUAACUAACUAACAGAAUACAGCUGUAGCAUACUACAAUGUAUACACGUGUCAUCUUAAUACAACUAACAGUAGAAAUAAUAUCUCACUCAAUAGCUGAAUAGCUCAGUCAACAUCCUCCCUCAAGCUCAGCUAGGGAGACUAGCCUGAGAUUGGUACAAUGUGUUUUGAAGAUAGGAGAAGGAAGUCCCUUGGUAAGAAUAUCUGCUGUUUGUUCUAUAGUGGGAACAUAUUGAAGACAUAGAUCAUUGCGCUGUACUCUUUCACGAACAAAGUGAAAGUCAUUAUCCAGAUGCUUGAUUUUAGAAUGAAAUACUGGAUUUGAAGCUAGAGCAAAAGCUGACAGGUUAUCACAUUUGAGAAGUGGAGCUCGAGGAAUUCUAAUUUUCAAGUCACACAACAAAUGUCUGAUCCAACUUAUUUCAGCAACGGUAUUAGCUAAACUCCUAUACUCAGAUUCAGUGGAGCUUCGAGAAACUGUACCUUGUUUCUUGGAUUGCCAUGAAACUGGACAUAAACCAAGAUACAUAACAAAUCCUGUAGUUGAACGCUUUUGAAUCACCUCUCCUGCCCAAUCUGCAUCACAAUAUGUCUUAAUAUUCACAGCAUUUUGUAAAGCAUCAGUAGAGCUAUAAAAUAUCCCUUUAUGAAGAGUUCCUUGCAAGUAUCUCAAGAUUCGUUUCACUGCAGCAUAUUAAUGCACAUCAGUAGGAUUUAUCAUAAACUGACAAACAGUAUUGACAGAAUAAACAAUAUCUGGACGAGUAAAAGUCAAAUACUGCAAUGCACCUACAAUGCUCUUGUACAUUGUGGGAUCUUUGAGAGGUAUGCCUUGAUCCUUAGUCAUCUGAUAAUGUGGAAGACAAGGAGAACUACAAGCAUUGAUUGAUUCCAUACCUGUUUUCACAAGCAAAUCCUUGGCAUAUUUGGUUUGACUAAUUAAAAUUCCUCUCUGCACCUUCUUGACUUCCAAACCAAGAAAAUACGACAAUGGGCCAAGAUCAUUCAUGUCAAACACCUGGCUUAACUCAUCAAUAACAGCAUGUAUUCCUACAUUGUCUGAACCAGUGAUCACAAUAUCAUCAACAUAUAGUAACAAUGCAACCAUACCCUCUGAUGUAUGUCUAAUAAAGAGACUUGGAUCUGAAUGUGAAAACUUGAAACCUAAACUCGGUAAGAAGCUUGUGAACUUUUCAUUCCAAGCUCUAGGAGCUUGUUUCAACCCAUAGAGAGACUUUCUGAGUAAAUACACAUAAUCUGGAUGCUCACUAUCAACAAAACCUUAAUUGUGAUUGUGACAUAUAGACUUCUUCUUUCAAAUCUCCAUGUAAAAAGGCAUUUUUAACAUCCAAUUGCCUUAACUCCCAAUUAUUCAUUGCAGCUAAAGCUAAAGUACUCUUACAGGGCUAAAGGUUUCAUCAUAAUCUAAGCCUUUAGCUUGACUAAACCCUUGAGCUACUAAUCUAGCUUUAUAUCUGGAGACUGUUCCAUCUGGAUUUUUCUUUAUCUUAUAUAUCCACUUACUCCCUACUAUAUUUCUAUUCUUUGGACAGGGAACAAGAGACCAUGUACCUUGUUUGUAUAGAGCCUCAAUCUCUUCCAACAUAGCUUGAUCCCAUUCAGUUUUCCCAGUUGCUCCCCUGAAAGACUUUGGUUCAAUCACAUCACUAACAUCAGACACAGCAGUAAAACCAAUGAAAAAUGGAAAUUCCGUGUAUAACUUUUGUUGAGCCACAGCAGAAUAACAGUAAUAAUCUUCAAAAGUCUUAUGUUUGACAAUGCCAUUUUUAGCUCUAGUCAUCAUAGAAUGGUCAUUGUAGUUCUAAUGAACUCAAGUUCCUGAGGCAGAUCAUUAGGAUUAAUAUUUCCACCAAACUGUAAGGCAUUUACCUCACUCUCAUCAAGACCAUUCAUAUUAGAAGUUAUACAAUUAAUUUCAAUAGCUGCAUUAUUUUCAGUAGCUGCACCAUUUUGAGUGUCACAUCCCGACCCGUAAAUUUUUACCUUAUUUACUAGCUUGGUUAUAAUAAGAAUUUUACCGUCUCCGUCAUUGAAGUUAUAGUUUAAUUGGUCCCUAGAGGGGUUUCGGGGACAGUUAUGCUCGGAGGAUUAUUUGUAGGAGGAAAAUAUGACGACGGUAAAAAUGGUAAAUUUUAGCUAGUAAAAGGUAAUUUUUAUUCGGGUAUUAUUUUUCGGGGUAUUUUAUUUUUUUGGAGUUGGGUUUAUAUUUGGUUUGGGUAGGAACCGGUUUGGGAAAAAAAAAAAGCCCAAACCCUAUUCUCUCUUCUCUCUCUCCUCCCUCCCGNNNNNNNNNNNNNNNNNNNNNNNNNNNNNNNNNNNNNNNNNNNNNNNNNNNNNNNNNNNNNNNNNNNNNNNNNNNNNNNNNNNNNNNNNNNNNNNNNNNNNNNNNNNNNNNNNNNNNNNNNNNNNNNNNNNNNNNNNNNNNNNNNNNNNNNNNNNNNNNNNNNNNNNNNNNNNNNNNNNNNNNNNNNNNNNNNNNNNNNNNNNNNNNNNNNNNNNNNNNNNNNNNNNNNNNNNNNNNNNNNNNNNNNNNNNNNNNNNNNNNNNNNNNNNNNNNNNNNNNNNNNNNNNNNNNNNNNNNNNNNNNNNNNUUGUGCUUCGUGAAGGUAUGCUCAUCACUUCCCUCUAGUUUUUCGGUCUUCCUUGAGCUUCGAUUUCCAAAUAUAGAGCCCUAAUCAGAUUUCCCCCUUUCUCUGUUUUCUGGGUUUGAAGUUCGGUCUCCAACAAGGGCUUUUGUUCUUGAAUUUCAGUGUGUCCGUCGAGCUCAGGCGAACCUAGUUGUGGUUGGUGGGAGCCCCGACGCACUUUGGAAGAAGUUUGGAGGAAGUUGUUACUGUUUCGGAAGGAGGCAGUGGUUUUGGGUGUUUGAUUGAGUGUCCUCCGAUCAUGACUGCGGUUUUGGGCUGUCAGUGAACAUGGUUUCGGCGAGGAUUAUAGCAAGGUGAGUGUUAAGUUUUGAUCUUUGGUGUUGUUGUUGUUGUGUGGUUUCGGUUGGUUGGUGUUUGAAUCGUUUAUUUUCUGCAUGAUUGUCGAUAACUUGGAGAUUAGAAGAUGCAGGGAGACUAUGGCCAAUUUUCCAGCAGAAUAUUCCGACAAGUCGUCGGAAUCCGGCGAAGGCAGUUAGUCCGACAAGAGCAGUUGAGGUAGUUAUUGAAGUUUUCCUUUUUGUUUUGCGUUGUUUCAUAAAUAGGAAGUUUGUCGGUUUAUAAUCGGAAAUCUUUCUAAGUGAGGAAAGUUCCUAUUUUGGGGAAACUUUCCCUUUUUUGGAAAACUUUCUAUUUAUGGAAACCCAUUUUGGGUGCCCUUAGUGAUUUAUGGUGUGAAGUUGUAUAGAGAGAGAGUGAUUGAGGAUUGUUUGGAUGAAGAAUCAAUUGUAAUUGAAUUAUUAAGAUGGUUGUUGGAAUUAAAUUGGAUGGUAGAGUAACCAAGGUAACCCGAUUUGUUAAGUCGAAGGUUAAAAUGGAAAUUGUUGAGGCUUCGUUAGUUGGCUAAUCAUAAAUCAAUUGGUCAAACUUGGUCAAUCCUGGUCAACUCAGUAAACCUAGUCAAACUAGGAAGAAGUCGAAUCGUUAAUGAUUAUUGGAGUCCGGUCUGACCAAUUUAUUCUUCUGUUUAUCGUCAGACGUGGGAUUGGCUAGAGAGUGUGAUUAGUUGGAGGCGGCGCUCGAGGAGUAUUCCGAGCAUUGGAAGGCUUAGGCCUNNNNNNNNNNNNNNNNNNNNUUAUAUAGGGAGUAUGGACGUGUGUAAAUACAUACAUAUAUUAUAGAGCCUGAGAGGCUCGAUAUUUAUGAGAUAAAAGUUUUAUCGCUUGCAGCAUGCAUUCGAUUUUCCUUGAAAAUUGAUUUGGGGAAACAUAAAUAUUUUAUUCGUUAAUUUAUUUUUGUCCACUCACUCUAACGUUUCGUUUUCAAAUGUUUUCCCCUGGGCUCUUCGUUUUAAAAAUGCCCAGUUUGCAGGAUUGCAUAGUUGAGGUCGGACGUAUAUGGAGAAGAGACAUAGUCAAUAGUGUAGAUUCCGCUCAUUUUUAUAUUUUUAGUUCAUUUCCUUUCAAAUAGAGUUGCUCUGAACUGUAGCUGUUGGCUAUGAGAUUUUCUUGUUUAAGUUAGAAAUUAAAUUGGGAGAUGUUGUGAUUUGGGGAGCACGAAGGCUCCAAGAGUUUAUGGUUGGAUUUAAAUUUUCAGAAGUGUUUGCAGGUUUUAUUAGGAAGGGUUGUCCAUUUUCAAGAGAGGUUAUGUCGAAUUUUUCGGUAAACUUUCCUUGGAGGUGGUCCCCGCAGGAUCUACUUCGGGUUUCAUGAUGAAAUUCGGGGUGGGUCCUGUCAUUGAGUGACUGCAUUUACAUCAGUAGCAACAGUAUCAGACAUACCUGAAUUUGUAUCACCAGAAGAAUCAUGACUUUGUGGACCAUUUUCAUUUUCUGAACCUUCUAAGCCAUUCUGAGAACUAUUACCACCAAACAAAUUCUCAUUAACAGAUAAAAUCCCAUUUGUCCCAUUUGCAAUCUCAUUCUCAUUUUCAGUCCCAGUAAGGCCCCCCACCACCACAGUGUGACCUCCACUGUGAGAAAGACAAUGUGAACUGGACACAGGCAUCCUCAAAGGUAGAGUAGUGAGAGGAACAGAAGAAGGAAAGAAGGUGACAGGAUUAACCAAAGAAGAUGCAGGAGGAGGAGAUGAGUGAAAGGGAAAAAUGGUUUCAUCAUGAAUAACAUGUCUUGCACUACCAGAAGAAAGACUUUAGCUGACGAAAAAAAAAAAACCAGGCCGACGAAUUAUUUUUUCGUCGGCUAUGGUCAACUUUAGCUGACGAAUUUAAAAUUUCGUCGGCUGAAUAAUUUUUUUCGUCGGCUAUAGUCUGUGAACUUUAGCCGACGAAAAAAUAUAAUUUCGUCGGCUAAAGUGCUUAUAUUUGCAAAUCUGGACAACAACUCAUCUGGGAAAAAAAAAACUAUACGUAGAACCUUCAAACACAAAAAAGUCGUGAAAUAAGAUAUGACCAGAAUGGUGAAAUACGUCAACGGUUGAAAAAUCACGGUAUUCCGGUAAAGUCUCGGUGCCGAUAGUUGCGGUCAAUGCAAUUUACCCUUAUUAUUCACUAUGCUGCAGAUUUGACUAUUGUGAUACCUUUCCGGAAGCGUAACGGCCCUACGAGUCAAACUCAUUGUUAUGCCAUGACAUAUGGGCCUUUUUGGCCAUCCGAGUCCGUUUAGAGCUUCAAAAUGCAGUUUUCUUAUUUCCGAUUAGAGUUGACCGUUUCGAUCGAGCCCUUAACGUUGUCGAAUCCAGUUGAAUUUUUUACCAUAGACAUCUUUCGUCAUAGUGAUCAUAUCUGACGGUCGAAUUUUGGUUUGUGAAUUUUAGCAUUGGAAUCACAACGUGUCUAUUAUUUACCGUUAUUAUUCCCUAUGGGGAGCCCUAUCGUCGGAAGGUAAAUGUCUCAAAAUUUUAAAUGGGCAGUUGCGUCUCAUCUACGUGAGAGUUUUUUGUGUGGAAGGUUUGACAAAACUACGUAUAUAGAGGGAGAUAUGAGUGUUUUCGUGUGAUAAGUGACGAUGGAUUAGGGUUGACCGUUUUGAUCGAACCAUUAACGUUGUCGGAUCCAGUUGAAUUUUUUACCAUAGACAUAUUUCGUCAUAAUGAUCAUAUCUGACGAUCGAAUUUUGGUUUGUGAAUUUUAGUCAUCGGAAUCACAACGUGUUUACUAAUGUUGUAUAACUUGUUUAGUAGGUUAUACAACUUUGUGAACCAACUCUACAUUAUCAAAAAUCUCGUGAAAUAAGAUGUGUUUAGAAUGGUGAAAUACGGCUAUGGUUAAAAAAUCACAUAAAUCGGGUAACGUCUCGGUGCCCAUAGUAGCGGUCAACCCCAUUUACAGUUAUUAUUCCCAAUGGGGAGCCCUAUCGUCGGAAGGUAAAUGUCUCAAAAUUUUUAUAUAGGCGGUUGCGUCUCAUCUACGUGAAAGUUUUUCGUGUGGAAGGUUUGACCAAACUACGUAAUAUAAAGGGAGAUAUGAGCGUUUUCGUGAAUUUAUAGACUUUAGCCGACGAGAUAUUAAAAAAGUCGUCGGCUAAGGUCAAAAUUUUUUUGGUGGUAAACCAAAUUUGGAGGAAAAUUUUCAAAGGACUUUAGCCGACAAAAAUAUAUGAAAAGUCGUCGGCUAAAGUCGAAAAAUUUUCAAAAAUUUUCAACCAAAAUUUUUUAGCGGUCAACCAAAAUUUUCAAAAGAGUUUAGCUGACGAAAAUAUAUGAAAAGUCGUCGGCUAAAGUCGAAAAAUUUUCAAAAUUUUCAAAAGAGUUUAGCCGACGAAAAUAAAUAAUUUCGUCGGGUAAAGUUCUUUAUAUAGAAGUUUUACAGGAGGUGAAUGGUAAGAAGUCAGAAAAUCAGAAAAUGCCGGAUUUUCUUCUCGGCCUAGCUCCGCCGUCAAGCCACCGGAGACCGCCACACUUAUCCCAAAAGCUUCGCCGUCUUCUCUACUUCAUUGCUGGACAAGUGGCGCAUCAAGUGGCGCCGCCGUGAGGGAUAAAUCGAGCUCCAAAACUCCGCCGGUUCGGAUUCGGUGUCGAUCGAAUUUCUCCUUCCUCAGGUCACCAUUUGGUGAGUUCUAUAUAUGGAUAAGUUGAGUUUGAUUAGUACUACAUUCCCCUAGAAUUUGGUAGCUCGAUUCGGUGUGUGUGAGGAGAAUCGAAGAUUUGAAGUUUUUAGGGUUUAAAAUUGGAGAUUUUUAUAUUUUGAUUCAAUUGACCUAUUUAGGCUUAGAAUUGGACUUCGACUUCUUCUAGGAAGUUGUUCGAAAUGUUGAGAGGAAGAUUCUGUCAAAUUUUGGUGGUGAUUGGAGGUGGCCAAAAGUUUCUGCAGUUUUUUAUUUCAAAAACCAGCAACUUUAGCCGACGAUAUUUAAAUACUUUAGCCGACGAAACAGAUUAUAUUUCGUCGGCUAUAGUUAUUUUUUAAUUUUUUUAUAAGGUUUAGCCGACGAAACAAACUAUAUUUCGUCGGCUAUAGUUAUUUUUUUAAUUUUUUAUUACACACACUUUAGCCGACGAUAUUCGUCGGCUAAAGUCUAGGAAAAAAACCGACGACAUGUUUUUCGUCGGUUAAACUGUGGGACUAUAGCCGACGACGUCUUCUUUUUUCGUCGGCUAAAGUCGUCGCCGACGACCUUUUCCCGACGAAAUCUUAACGAUCUUACCCGACGAAUUGAGCUAACAGGCCGACGAAACUUUUUCGUCGGCUAAAGUGCUUGUCCUGGUAGUGUUGACAUCCAAAGUCUAUUGUGAGUAAUACUAUAACAAAAGACCCCUUUAUAUCCCAAGGCAUAUCCUAAAAAUACACAUUGAGUAGUUCUAGGAUCCAGCUUAUCAUGCGUGUCUGAGAUAAGGAUAACAAGAAGAACCAAGAAUCUUAAGCUGAGAAAUAUCUGGAGAUUUGUGAAAUAAAAGCUCAUAGGGAGAGAUCAUAUUUAGAGACUUACUAGGCAUGCGAUUAAUAAGAUAGCAUGAAUGAGCAACACUAUGAAACCAAAAGUGUUUGGGAAUGCUAGCAGUAGAAAGAAGGAAAAUAGCAGAUAUGCCUAUUUUUUCUUUCGGCAACCCCAUUUUGUUGAGGUGUGGAGGGACAUGUAAUCUGAUGAACAAUUCCUUUGGAUGAAAGAAAAUUGUGACAGGCUUUACUAUUAAAUUCACCACCUCUAUCUGUUUGAAAUUGUUUGAUGGUAGAACUAAAUUGAUUUUCUACAAAAGCCCAAAAAUGCACAAACUUGGCAAAAACAUCAGAUUUAUUGAUAAGUGGAAAAAUCCACACAAACUUUGUACAAUCAUCAAUAAAGGUGAGAUGAUAUCUAUAUCCCUCUAUUGAAAUACAUGGAGCAGGUCCCAGACAUCAGAAUGCACCUUAUAAAAGGGCAUUGAUGCUGUGGACUGAGAAUCAGAAAAAGGAAUUCUUGCCUUCUAAACAAUGAGAACAAAUAGAACUAGGUACGGAACUAGACCAUUUUAUUUGAGAACUAGACAACAUUUUUGACAAAACAGAUUGAGAAGGAUGACCUAAACGUUGAUGCCAAAUUGGAUAGGAUGUAGAUGAGCUGAGAAGAGCACUAUGAGAAAGUGGAGAGAUGGAUGAAAUUGAUGGAGACUUGAAGAGAAACAGGCCAUCUUCAUUACUCUUUCCUUGGUAGAGAACUGUUUUGGAUGCCUUGUCCUGCACAGCAAUAAUAUGUUCAUCAAGCGUUAUGUAACAACUGUUAUCUCUGCAUAACUUUGUAAAUGACAGCAAAUUCACAACUAAAUCUGGGACAUGAAGUACUGAGUCCAAUUUCAAAACAUGAUCAGCUGGUUUUAUAUAACUAGAACCAGUAUGAGCUAUAUGCAAACCUGUACCAUUACCAAUAGUGAUCUUAUUAUCAUAGGAAUAUGGCUGAGCAAUAGUGAGGUUUCUCAGUUCAGAAGUCAUAUGAUGAGUAACUCCUGAAUCUCCUAUCCACACUUCAGGCUGAGGAACAUUUGAGGAAUUAUACGAGUAACCAGCAGAUGAUGAUGAUGCUCCACUACUAGGGUUAAAACCACCAGGAAAACUUGAUCCAAAUGAGCCAUGAGAAAUCGAAUAUCCACCCUGAGAAUGUUGGCCAACAUUAUUUGCACUUCCAAUUGUUUGAGUUGCAGACAGAGCAAUAAGAGAAGUAGGGGGAUCAGAACCCUGAUAUGCAAAGUUGGUUAUGUGUGUACAAUUCAAUGCCACAUGACCCUUGAGACCACAAAUUUGACAAGUUGGAAUGGAUAAAGAAGGAUGUCCAUCAGGAACAUCUGUCCUGUAAAAACAAUUAGUAGCAGUGUGACCUUUUUUGGAACAAAUUUGACAUUCAGGAGAAGGUCCAAUGUUUAAUGAUGAUCUGUGUUGAGGCUGAGAGCUCUGAGGUUUGUACUCAAGGUUUUGAUAACAUGUACUUGUUAGAUUUCCAUGUUUUCCACAAAUUUGGCACUUGUGAACAUGAAAGCAUGUUUCCAUAGUAUGUCCCCUCUUACCACAAACUUGACAUCCAACUGCAGUACCAGUAUAUUUUCCAUCUUUUCCUUUACUAUCACCCUUGCUAGCCCACCCUCUUUUAUUGCCAUCUCUCUGACCAGCCCCUGGUCCAUCUCCUUGAGCAACCAUGGCACUCAUACUAGAUUGGAGUGAAAAACUCCCUUCAAUUCUUCUCUCUGCAACAAGAAGCUGAGAUCUCAAAUCUCUGAGAGUGACUGGAUUUUCCCUGCCCUCAAUGACAGUUCUAACAGUAGAAUACUCAUCAGGAAGUCCAUUGAGAAUUACAAUGAUGAUAUCUUCAUCAGGAAUAGUAACCCCCACAGAAAGUAGUUGAUCUCUAGCAUUUUUGACACGCUGAAGAUACUUUUCAAUUGUUUCUGCUCCCUUUCGAAGAGUCCGAAGUUCAGUUUUCAGCUGCAUGAUAUUCACUCUUGAAACUGUGGAAAAACGCUCAUGUAAAGCUAGCCAAGCUUGUCUAGAAGUUUUGUAACCAAUGAUAACAUUAACAAUGUCUUCAUCUAGUGUGGCCAUAAGCAAACUCAGAAGUGCCAUAUCUGUUUGUUUCCAAGCUUUAUAAGCAGUAGUCUCCUCAUUAGUUACACCAGCAUCAGUAGUAAGGGCAUAUCUAGGUGGAGCUACUUCUGAACCAUCAUAGAAACCAAACAAGCCAUUUCCAGCCAAAGUAGAUUGAAACUGAAAGCUCCAUUUGAUAAAAUUUCUCUCACCAAGACGCAUAGUAAUAAUGCUUAACAGUGAGUGAACAUCAGAAUGAGAAAGACUAGGAAAGGUAGUAGCUUGCUGAGGUGCCAUUUGAUACUUACUGCAAACUUUAUCAAAAAGAAGGAAACUCAGAUCACUAAUUAAUAUGCUCUCUUUUCACCAAUUUUGCUUUGCUUUAGUUGAUCUGAAACACACACAUCUCAAAUAACAUUUUUACUGAACUUUACAGAAUUGAUCAAAGUUGAUACUUGGUUUGCUCAUACUCAGAGAAUCUCACUUUUGCUCAUUUUUCACAAACUCAGACAUAUACUACUCAGAAUUUUGUUCAAAUCUCACAAAAGAGCUCAAGCAACACAGAUCUACUCAAGAACCACAUAAUUUUCCUUCAAAUAUUCACCUCAGAAUUUUGCUCUCAAACUUUCACAUAAGUGCUCAAGCAACUCAGAUCUACUCAAGAAUCACAAAAUUUUCCUUCAAAAUUAACCUAUUCACCUCAAAAUUUUGCUCUCAAACUUUCACAAAAGUGCUCAAGCAACUCAAAUCUACUCGGAAUUUACCAAACAAAGUUUCAAAUAUUCAUCUCCAAAACUUCAAGCAGCAACUUAUGGCUUAUUCAUCAAACACAUACUUCAUAAAGUGUAGAUCUUACGUCUCAGAAACAAACACAGAGUUGAUUCUCAAAGAAAAGGUAAUAGAUCAAGAAUCACCUCAAAUCUGGAACAAGAAGAGAAGUAGAGCUCAAAUCUAGCUUCGAUGAAAAUCAAAGCUACAAUCCCUAGCUUCGAUGAAGAUCAAAGCUGCAAUCGUUAGUCUCGAAGGCACAGAUUCCUCAAAUCGCAAACUAUCGAUUUAGGAUCUGAAUCAAUACAAAAGAAGAGUGAGAACAAGUAGAUAGAGCGUGCGGAAGCAUGAAUUAAAGGUCGUGGAUCUAUGGAUGCUCUGAUACCAUGAUAGCCAUGGCAUCAAAGAUGAGCGAAAUGAACUGGGGUUUACAAAGAAAGCAAAGAAAUUUGGGAGAGGAAAGAUCAGAACACUUGCUUUGAUUAAAAUGAAGCUUAAUUACAAAGAGAAGCUGCUCAGCACGGAUUCAAAUUUGCCGACCAGCAGCAUUAUGCUGGUCAUAGCACCACCAAAUAAGAGGUUUCCACGUGUCAAAAACCAUAGACCAUCACUAACUAUGAUUAAUCUCUCCUUAAAUUAAAUACCGCCUCUCCCUCUCCGCCUUCUCGCCGUCGACUACUACCUCCUCAGCUGCGGCUCCACCAUGACCUCCACCCUAGCCGACAGCCACCGCUUCCUCCCGGACUCCUCCCCUCAUCCCUCUCAGUUCCCCUCCGUGACCAAAACCCUUACCCAACGCCCUCCAAAUUUGCCAAACCGCCAGACUUUUUCACGCAAUCGUCACCUGCAUCCCAGAGUCCGGCAAGUACUUAUCGUCGUGACCCAACAACAUCAUCUCGUCGUGGUGUGCAAAAUAGUUGUUGGACAUCGUGAUCCCGAUGGACCCGAAGGGCAAGAUGCCGUCGCCGUCGGACUUGUCGCGCCAGCCGACGUGGGUCGGGGAGGAGGCGUCGUUGGUGUUGCCAGCGGGCUUGCAGUGGUGGACGUGGAUGUUGUGGAUGAUGAUGUUGGAGACGUACUGGAGGAUGAUGCAGCCUCCGCCGGUGACGUGGACGGAGUGGCCGCGACCAUCGAUGGUUUUGAAGGAGUUGACGAUGAGCUCGGCUUUGAGUUUGAUCCAGAGGGGUUUGGUUUGGAAGACGGCGUGGCGGAGAGUGUUGGGGGUUGGGUUGGCGGGGUUGCGGUCGGAGGAGUCAGUGACGAUGUAGAUCUGGUCGCCUUUGCCGCCCAUUGCGUCUGCGCCGAAGCCGAUGCCGCAGUCGGCGAGCUGCUGGCGGUUGUCGGCCCAGUUAUUGGAGGAGCAGCGCCAGCAGUCGUCGAUGGGGUUGCCCGUGGCGCAUUGUUGGUCAUUGAGGGACAGCAUUUCGCGGCGGGAGAGGGAGGCAUCGACUCUCCUAUCGAAAAACAGAGCGAAACAGAGUGAGAAAAGAGCAAAACAGAGUGAAUGAGCGAUAAUGUAGAUGAAAUUGGAGAUGUUGGAAUGAGAUAUUGAAUCACAAGCACAAAGCAAUGCGAAAACAGAGCAAAGCAGAGGAGAGUGAGGGAUAAUGUAGAUGGAACUGGAGAUUUGGGAUGGAAUUUUUUGUGGAGGAAGAUUGAAAUGGUUGAUUGAUGAAGAAAAUUUGGAGGGCGUUGGGUUAGGGUUUUGGUCACAGAGGGGAACUGAGGGGAACUGAGAGGGAUGAGGGGAGGAGUCCGGGAGGAAGCGGUGGCCGUCGGCUAGGGUGGAGGUCACGGUGGAGCCGCAGUCGAGGAGGUAGUAGUCGACUGCGAGAAGGCGGAGAGGGAGAGGCGGUAUUUAAUUUAAGGAGAGAUUAACCAUAGUUAGUGAUGGUCUAUGUUUUUGACACGUGGAAACCUCUUAUUUGGUGGUGCUAUGACCAGCAUAACGCUGCUGGUUGGUAAAUUUGAAUCCGCUUAGCACUAUAUAUACAUCAAAGAGGAAAAUAAGAGAGCUUAACUAACUAACAGAAUACGGCUGUAGCACACUACAACGUAUGCACGUGUCAUCUUAAUACAACUACCAGUAGAAAUAUCUCAGUCAAUAGCUGAAUAUCUCAGUCAACAAAUGUGACUCCUCCCUGAUUCAACCACUCAAAAGCGGAGGCGGGGAGCCUUUUUCCACUAGUCAAGCCACAUUAUAGUUCCCUCUGAACCUGGUCUCCUUCCUCUUUCUUCAUUGUUUGUACCCAAUUACAAGAUCUGAAAUGAAGCAAAGCUUCUUCUUCCCCUCAUCCAUAAAUCUGUACAUCCUCAUUUUCUUUCUCGUAUCAGAAACCUCAUUUGCUGUGGAUUUUCACUUUGAAAACUGCAGUGUGCCCAAGACUUGUGGCGGCCAAAACAUAUGCUUUCCGUUCUUCAUUCCAGGCCAGCAAGAACCCUACUGCGGCUUCCCGGGGUUUCAACUCUCCUGCAUCGAUGGAUACCCUACUCUUCAGUUGGCUGGAGAUGAGUACUUGGUCCACAAUAUCAGUUACCAACACCAGACUCUUGUCGUCUCAAACGCUGCACUUUCAAACUCAAACACAUCGGUUUGUAUUCCAUCAGUCCAAAACUUAACCUUUCCUACUGAUCAGUAUGACCUUGUUGAGAACCAAAAAGAAAUCGUUUUGCUAUAUGAUUGCAACUCUGCUUUGGUUGAUGAGUCGUUUUCCGAUGAGUACAAAAUCGGUUGCUUUAAGCAAACAAUGGCUAGGACGAAUAGUAGUUCAGUUCUGGCGCUGCCUGGGGAUCAACAACAAUUGUUAGCUAACGUGUCUGACAAGUGUGGAAGAGAAGUGGUGGUAACUCCGGUUGAAGAUUAUGCAACUAAUGAGUUGGAUAUUGAAGAGGUUUUGAAAAGAGGGUUUAAGCUGAAAUGGUCAUCAGCAAGCGGCUGCAGCCGGUGUGAGGACAGUGGAGGCAAGUGUGGUUUUGAUUCCGAGUCCCGUCAUUUCCGCUGUUUCUGCCCAGAUAGGCCUCAUCUUGUCAGCUGUAAAGGUAAAGGUUAGUCCUUUUUAUGUGUCUUGCUUCUUGUUCUUCCUUUUUAAUGAAUGUUUUAAGUUCAUCGUUAUAUAGGCCUCAUUUGACUAGCUGUGUUUCUACAGGUCAGUCUUCACUGUUACUUUUCUCAUUUAUUUACUUGCAUCUUGAAUUUAUAAUUUUAGAUGGCCUUGAAGAUUGUUAUGUUUUGUUCAUAUUAGUAUCAUUUUCUGCCUUCUCAACCAUCUUCUGCUUCUUCACUACGCUGAGUAGAACUGUAGAAGACAGGUAGAUUUGACUGCUCCUUAAACGCGUCUUCCUUCUUGUUCUUCCUAUGUUUAUGAAGUUUCGAAUUAUUUCACUUAUUUGGCACCCUAAACACGUUUAGCAAAGACUUCAAAGUCCUGUGCUUUCAAUAUUUUACAAGUCAAACUAGCGAGUUGAGACUUGAGAGGCAUCGAGAUAUUAAAGAUGAGAGAGGCAUCAAAAUCCUAAUUAAGCCUGCUAGUGGCUGUGGUUUUUGGGGAGAGAAUAGGAGCAAAUAGUCAUCCUGCUUUGUUUAUUCUCUCUGCUCUCACUCGUCUAGUGACUGUAAUGUACACUGUCGAUUGGUAUAUACCAAAGGAUGUCUUCAGUGCUAUACUACUGGAGGUAUAUGCAUGGAUGACAAUGGAGAAUUCAAAUGUUCCCGCACACAGGAAGGUAGAUGCUGGGAUGACUACUGAGAGUUCAUUGUUACAUACUUAAUUAGAUGUAGAGAAAUUGUCAACUAGCUAAGUAACAACUGCAUAAGGAGAAAGAAACCAACCAAAAUAUUCAUAACUAGCUGUGAAUCGAUCAACAGGUCUGUCUUUGACCUUUCCUUUCCUUAUUUAUUUACUUGCAUCUAGAAUUUAAAUACUGAAAAACCAAAUGCUUGUUGGCUUAGCUUGGAGGAUCAUCUAAUUAACUAAUUAAGGCCUUGCAUAACCAAUAUUUCCUGGCUAAUGAUAUGUGUUCUACCAUUUGUGUUGCAGGAGAUGCAUUGGGAUUGAAGCUAGGACUAGGCCUAGGACUAGGUAAGUUUGAUAUCUUUUCAAUUACAUAUGAAAACAUUAUGCGAUCCGAUCUGAUCUGAUACAAAGUGUUUGAACCCUUGGAAUCAAGUCAUUUCAAAGUUGCCCCAAGACAGGAAUGAGUCCCAGAAUUCAAACAUUAACUAUCAUCAGCAUUACCAUGUUAGUUUAUGUUUUUCAAUCCUGAGUUCCUGACAUAAUAUGCAAUUAAUUUCUUUUUGUUGAUCAACAGGUGCAGCUGGUCUUGUGAUUCUAGUAAUAGUUGUUGUUUGCUGCUUCAGGAUGAAGUUGUCUGAUAAAUCUAUGUUCUUUUGGAUGAACAAAUAUCAUAGUCGAGAAAUUGUUCAGGAAUUUCUAAGGGACCAUGGACCACUUCAAGUUAAGAGAUACAGCUACUUGGAUGUGAAGAAAAUGACCAGCUCCUUCAAGGAAAAAUUAGGACAAGGGGGGUACGGUGGUGUAUACAAAGGAAAAUUAGACGAUGGAUGUCUUGUAGCAGUGAAGAUCUUGAACAGAUCAAAAGGUAAUGGAGAAGAGUUUAUGAAUGAGGUUGCAGCCAUUAGUAGAACUUCCCAUGUCAACAUUGUCAGCUUGUUGGGGUUUUGUUUUGACGGUUCAGAAAGAGCUCUCAUCUAUCAAUACAUGCCUAAUGGAUCUUUGGAGAAGUUCAUAUAUGAUGUAAAUAACCCACAAAAAAAUCAACACUUGGGGUGGGAAGCAUUGGAUCGAAUUGCACUUGGCAUUGCUCGAGGACUAGAGUAUUUACAUCGCGGUUGUAACACAAGAAUCUUGCAUUUCGAUAUUAAGCCUCACAACAUUCUUCUUGAUGAGAAAUUCUCACCGAAAAUCUCAGAUUUUGGCCUUGCAAAAAUAUGCAAGGGAAAUGAGAGCAUUGUGUCAAUGCUGGGUUUAAGAGGUACUUAUGGAUACAUUGCUCCAGAAGUUUUCUGUAGAAAUUUUGGUGGUGUUUCACACAAAUCCGAUGUGUACAGCUACGGAAUGAUGCUUUCAGUGAUGGUUGGGGGAAAAAAGAAGAUCAGUGUUGAAGUUGAAGACACUAGCGAAAUAUAUUUUCCACACUGGAUUUACAAGCGUCUUGAAUUGGAUCAAGAACUUGGCGUGCAGAACAUCAUGAAUGAGGGAGACAAAGUAAUAGCAAGGAAGUUGAUAAUAGUGAGCUUGUGGUGCAUACAAACCAACCCUUCAAACCGGCCAUCCAUGAAACAAGUGAUAGAAAUGUUGGAAGGGAGUGUUGAGUCCUUGCAGAUACCACCAAAGCCUUACUUGUCUUCUCCUCCAAAAUCCCCUGCACAUUCUUCUACUACUAUAUCGGUGUCGAUAUAAUAGAACAACCGAACACUCGGCAUAUUUCAUACUUACUUGAAUACAAACUGUGUUUCAGGCAAUCUGUAAUGAGCAAAUAAUUGAAAAUGAAGCUAUGAAUCUAUGAUCAACAUUAUUUCAUACUCUUUUUAACAUGAACAUUCGGAAGUGUUGUACUAGACUCAUUCCCAUUCGAUCAUGCCCAUUGCUCAGUAUUCAUUCUUCUCAGUAAUUCAACCAGGGAAAUUAUAGAACUUUCCAUUAAUAAGCUUUUCUGGUUCCUUGUACAAGUGUUGAUUCGAAUUCUAGCUUCAUACGCUACCGCCAAAUUUAAACUCCCAGUAGUCUCGUCAAAAGCCGAAAGCCCAAAGGCCCAAAGUGGAAGACAUAAAAUUCAAAGUAACACUUUGUUUAUUAUUGCAGUUCGAACUUCGAACCCUACCUGCCCCGAAAAAAAGAAGAUAUUUAGUAAAGUCGUCUCAUAUGCAAUUACCCAGGUCUAACCCCUUGUUUAAUGUACACUAAUUAGAUACAUUAUUAUUAUUUUAUUUCAUUAACCAAUCUGUUUAAUAUUGAUCAAAUCCCACUUUGGACUACUUGACCAACGAUACGCCCCAAGGUAAUAAUCCAUUGGUGCUGCUUUUCAUGACAUUAACAAGUUCCCAAUGCAAAGUCCAAGCAACCUUAAGUAAGAUAUGACUAGUUGAUUUGAUUUAUUAUUCUAACUUCUCCCAAUAAAACUGUAAAAGUUGAAAAGCAAUAGCACCCUUUUUAGAACAAGACGAUCUGCCCUUUUGUCACAAAGAAUAUUAUACUAGAUUAAUAAAGAAUCAAGUGAAAUACAAGAGCUACAUUAUGAGCAUAAGAAAAAUACAUGACCUCAGUAAAUAGGUGUAACAAAAGUAAAAUAAAUUUCAGAACAAGCUUGACUAAAUACAAAUCACCAAAGCACAGACCUAAAAAGAAAAGGUUAUUAUCCUAAAAUUCAAACUAACAUCUACCGUGCCGAUAUAAUGUGCAUGUCACUGCUUGAAUUGAAGUCGUCUAAUUGUUAUCUUAUAUUCAUCCAAUUCUCACUUAGUUUAAUUUUAUGAUUAAUUUCAGUUUAUCUUCUUCAGUUUUGGGGUUAACAUCAUUUUUGUCAAAAUUAACGUUUAAAUUAAACGAAAAUUCAGUAAUUAGGCAUGAUUUAUAAAAUUGGAAACUUUAGAGGGUAAAUUUUUAAAAUUAAAAGUAUGAGGACUUAAAUGAUGUUAACCACAAACCUCAGUUCGAGAAAUUUUUUAGUGCUCUUGAAGGACCACGUGGCAAUCUGACAUUGUCCUCCAUUCCAUUUAAAUUUUGACAUGUGGAAUUUCAAAAUGAAAAACAAUUUUCGCGAUUUUGUUAAAGACUAUUUUGGGUUUCUUGUUGAUAUUUUAAAUCCUUAAUUUUAACUCAAUUCUCAUUAUUUUUUUAAAGUAAGUCAAUUCUCAUUAUGUUAUCUUGCCCCAGUAACUGGCUGAUACUAUUUUACCCUUAUGCCUCGUUUGUUUCAUAGAAAGCAAGCAUCAUGAAAGGAAAGUUGUUCAUUUCCAGUGUUUGGGAAAAUAUAAAGAAAUGAAACACUUUAUUGAUUGAUGGAAAAAUAUGGGGGAAAGUGGUUCCUUUCAAAAUCCUAAGGAACCACUUUUCUUUCUUCUUUCCCUGCAUUUGUUACUCACAACAUAAUUUUUUAUUAUAUUAAAUCUUAAUUCAUUAACAACUUUUCAAUAGGCUUUUCUAGUGUUACCAAAUAUCAGAAUGAAAAGUUCUUGUAAAAUUUCAUUCUCGUUUACUUUCUAUUCUCAUGAAAAAGAGAAAGAAACCACUUUCUUUUUCGCGAACCAAACAAGACCAUAUAUUAAUCGUAUUAACAGUCGGAUUAAACUAUAUUUAGAACAUUGACUCAUUUAAUGGACCAUGUGAUGUGCAGGACACGCGUGUCAGGGUACGAUGUUCCCCCGUAUCACGGUCCAUAUUAAAACUAAUGAACUCACGCUUUACUCCUGAUCUCCGCCCCAAACCUCCACGUGUUCCCAUCUCCUCCUAUCACUCUCGCUCCUCAACAACCAAGUCAUUAAUAUCAACGGCAGAGACAUAACGCCAACGUAUCCCCACUCUAGUACACAAAACGACAUAGAUUCCAAGCGUUACAGGCACUGAGACGUCAAAAGGGCAUCACUGUCAAAUCACCCCCACAGUAAAACCAAGUACAACAUCACCUGCUUAACUGCUUUUUCCCCUCGAUCAAUCCACCUCACACCUUCACGCUCCAGCUUUUCCACAUUUAAACCCCUCAACUUCCCAUUAAUUACACAAAUACCCCAACUCUUCUUUUUCACUACCUCCGACUCCUCACUCUCUCACUGCUCUCAUUUGCAGAGACAACCAUGGCAGCCAAGCCCUUCUUCUUCUUCUUCCUCUCUCUCCUACCUUUGCUUAUCUCUGCUUCAAACCCAGACUCCGCGCCGCUCUUAGCCUUCAAGGCCACGUCGGACGCCUCCAACCUUCUCGCCACGUGGAACUCCACCUCCGACUCCUGCAACUUCGCCGGAGUCUCCUGCACCCGCAACCGCGUCUCCCGCCUCGUCCUCGAAGGCCUCGACCUCCGCGGCUCCUUCGCCGCGUUAACCGGGCUGACUCAGCUCCGAGUUCUCAGCCUGAAGCGUAACCGUCUCUCCGGGCCCAUUCCCGACCUCUCUAACCUCACCUCCCUCAAGCUCCUCUUCCUCUCCUACAACGACUUCUCCGGCGUGUUUCCCGCCUCCCUGACGUCACUCUUCCGCCUUUACCGCCUCGAUCUGGCGUACAACAACUUGACCGGUGAUAUUCCCGACGAGGUCAACCAUUUGACUCACCUCCUCACUCUCCGCCUCGAAGCCAACCGAUUCUCCGGCUCGAUUUCCGGCCUCAACCUCCCGAAUCUCCAGGAGUUCAACGUCUCGGCGAACCGUCUCUACGGCGAGAUUCCCAAGUCGUUCUCUAUCUUCUCUGAGUCCGCAUUUGCCGAAAACCCGGGUCUCUGCGGUGCUCCGGUUC